GGCAUGCCUCAUACAUGCAAGUCGAACGCAGGCUUCGGCCUGCCCUGGCGCACGGGUGAGUAGCGCGUGGGAACCUACCCUUUCGUGGGGGAUAACCGAGGGAAACUUCGGCAGAUACCGCAUACGCCGGGUAACCGGGAAAGAUUUAUCGCGGAAGGAUGGGCCCGCGUCGGAUUAGCUAGUUGGUGGGGUUAUGGCCUACCAAGGCAAUGAUCCGUAGCUGGUCUGAGAGGAUGAUCAGCCACACUGGGACUGAGACACGGCCCAGACUCCUACGGGAGGCAGCAGUAGGGAAUAUUGGACAAUGGGCGAAAGCCUGAUCCAGCAAUGCCGCGUGAGUGAGGAAGGCCUUAGGGUUGUAAAGCUCUUUCGGCGGGGACGAUGAUGACGGUACCCGCAGAAGAAGCCCCGGCUAACUUCGUGCCAGCAGCCGCGGUAAUACGAAGGGGGCAAGCGUUGUUCGGAAUUACUGGGCGUAAAGGGCGCGUAGGCGGCCAUCUUUGUCAGGUGUGAAAGCCCCGGGCUCAACCUGGGAAUUGCACUUGGGACGGGGUGGCUUGAGUUCGGGAGAGGAGAGUGGAAUUCCCAGUGUAGAGGUGAAUUCGUAGAUAUUGGGAGAACACCGGUGGCGAAGCGCUCUCUGGACGAUACUGACGCUGA
This 660-nucleotide ribosomal RNA is filed under the name uncultured bacterium. Its description in RNAcentral is "bacterial SSU rRNA". It matches the Rfam family "Bacterial small subunit ribosomal RNA", at positions 41 to 749 of the family's 1533-position model. The record is from RNAcentral.